RNAcentral lists this unclassified non-coding RNA (185 nucleotides) under rhizosphere metagenome. RNAcentral's name for it is "partial ribosomal RNA internal transcribed spacer region". The record is from RNAcentral.
GCUUGCUCAACGGCAUCGCCCUUUGGGGAGAGCCGCAGCAUGCAACCCUUGCCUAUGUCUACCAUUCGUUAUUCCCUCGGCGGGGUGACCUGCCGACGGGGACCAACAAACCCUUUUGCAUAAGCAUCGAAAUUCUGAAAACACGCAAAAUAAUCACAACUUUCAACAAUGGAUCUCUUGGUUCU